GGAUCUAAGCUCAGCCUCUGAUAAAUAAUUAUCUGCAACUUGCCCAAUUCUAUAGCCUUGAUCUAACAUUUCACGUGCCUUUCCCCAUCGGUUCACAAAGUAGGCGUUGCAUUUUUCGAAUGUGUAUUCAAUAAUUCCAGCGACGGGCCUACUUCGGAUGCCUUUGAAAACUCCGUUGAGUGAUUCCGAGAAGUUCGUGGUCAUAAUACCCCAGCGCAUCCCUCCCUCAUCGAAAGCCUGCGCCCA
Molecule: long non-coding RNA, 246 nt
Filed under: Setaria italica (foxtail millet)
Lineage: Eukaryota; Viridiplantae; Streptophyta; Magnoliopsida; Poales; Poaceae
Description: long non-coding RNA (SITA_LNC003484)
Source: RNAcentral